RNAcentral lists this long non-coding RNA (927 nucleotides) under Apteryx haastii (Great spotted kiwi). RNAcentral's name for it is "lncRNA (ENSAHAG00000019601.1)". The record is from RNAcentral. Lineage: Eukaryota; Metazoa; Chordata; Aves; Apterygiformes; Apterygidae.
CCGGGCGAGCCGGGUCGCUGCCGCGGGCCCGGUCGCCUCCCGCGUCCCCAGGGCCGGGGCGCCGCGCUGCCCCCAUCCCGUCCCGUCCGGUCCGGUGUCGCGGCGCGGCCGUGGCGGUGCCCCGCGCCCCGUGCAGCCUCCUUCACCCGGCUGGCUUCCAGGGGUGCGCUCCCGGCAUGGAGGAGUGCUGAAGAAAAAGGGGAGAUAACACAAAAAAGCGCGUUUUCGGUUUCCUCCCCGCCUGGAAGGUGAGUGUUCACUGAAGUGCUGCUGCUCUCUCCUCCUGCCUCCUGCAGCGCGAGGGUCAGAGCGUCGCUGCGCAGCGCGUGCCUCCGUGGAGCGAUGGCGAGUCGCGCGGCCCUCGGCCCGCUGCUGCCUUUCCCGGGAUCUUGGGCCUCUCUGGAGUAGUUCGGCCCUGCCUGCAGACUGAAUUGCAACAGAAGAUUCAACUUGAAGAAAAGCAGGAGUUGUGCAGAGUUGCACUUGAAAAAGGAUCCACUGUGGAAGAGGCCGAUGGUUUUUGUGGGAUCACUACUUCUCUUAGCCUGUUUCCGACAACUGACCUCAUGGAAGCGUGGCGUGGCGUCACAGCCCGGAAAGUGGAUGUCAUAUUGACUCACAGUCAGAUUCCUGAUAGAUUUUAAUGGGUUGUGCACUUGAUCUCGCUACAGCAGUUCUGGUUGAAUGCCCUGCAGGUGCCCUCGCCUGUUCAGUCGGUGCCGGCCUGGGUAGGGACCGCUGCUGCCGGUGACGUGGAGUGGAAGGAUGUGCAUGCAUGUUAGCGUGUGUUUUGAGUGGGAAACCCUUAAAGUAGCUUUCACUGGGCCAUGUAAAAGUUUCUGAAACGCACAGCCGUGCACUCUGUGUGCGUACAGCUGUAAGAGUAGACACAAUAAAGCGUUGCCGAGUGGAUUGAGGGCUCUGCUC